Neolamprologus brichardi is the source of this 322-nucleotide non-coding RNA. The record is from RefSeq and is a predicted model, not a curated record. NCBI's taxonomy places the organism in Eukaryota, Metazoa, Chordata, Actinopteri, Cichliformes, Cichlidae.
UAAAACAAAGUCGUGACUCAGAAAUCGGAGUAAUUGAGUCAACUGACAAAUUUAUGGAUGCAGACCAGUCUCAAAUGCUUACCAUUAGUCAACAAGAUCUGGGGGAAUCUGAUAGAAACAAUAACUCCACUGGGUCUGUCAAAAAACAAAUGAAAAGAAAGAAAGUCCAAUGGAAACAACAACCAUCUGAUCCAAAAGAACUAACAAGUGAAAACGAAUCAAGUGGCUAUGAUGAGGAUGAAGACGCUACUGACCAGGACAAGCACACAAUUUCUCCAAAGCAAGACCAAAAGCCAAAGGAUGCACUCGAUGGUGAAAGUGC